UACGUAGGGGGCUAGCGUUGUCCGGAUUUAUUGGGCGUAAAGAGCGUGUAGGCGGCCAGGUAGGUCUGCUGUGAAACUCGAGGCUCAACCUCGAGACGCCGGUUGAAACCAUCUGGCUAGAGUCCGGAAGAGGAGAGUGGAAUUCCUGGUGUAGCGGUGAAAUGCGCAGAUAUCAGGAAGAACACCCGUGGCUAAGGCGGCUCUCUAGUACGGUACUGACGCUGAGACGCGAAAGCGUGGGGAGCGAACAGG
This 252-nucleotide ribosomal RNA is filed under the name uncultured bacterium. RNAcentral describes it as "partial 16S ribosomal RNA". It matches the Rfam family "Bacterial small subunit ribosomal RNA", at positions 524 to 776 of the family's 1533-position model. The record is from RNAcentral.